CUCCGUGUGGCGCAGAAGGCAGCGCGCGUGGUUCGGGACCACGAGGCCGCAGGUUCGAUUCCUGCCGCGGAGACCA
RNAcentral lists this transfer RNA (76 nucleotides) under Aquabacterium sp. RNAcentral describes it as "tRNA-Pro". It matches the Rfam family "tRNA". From Rfam's summary of the family: Transfer RNA (tRNA) molecules are approximately 80 nucleotides in length. Their secondary structure includes four short double-helical elements and three loops (D, anti-codon, and T loops). Lineage: Bacteria; Pseudomonadati; Pseudomonadota; Betaproteobacteria; Burkholderiales; Sphaerotilaceae. The record is from RNAcentral.